This 537-nucleotide ribosomal RNA is filed under the name uncultured bacterium. RNAcentral describes it as "bacterial SSU rRNA". It matches the Rfam family "Bacterial small subunit ribosomal RNA", at positions 9 to 526 of the family's 1533-position model. The record is from RNAcentral.
GAGUUUGAUCCUGGCUCAGAAUCAACGCUGGCGGCGUGCCUCAGACAUGCAAGUCGAACGCGAAAGUCCCCUUCGGGGGACAAGUAGAGUGGCGCACGGGUGAGUAACACGUAGGUAAUCUACCUUCGGGUGGGGAAUAACAAUCGGAAACGGUUGCUAAUACCGCAUAAUGCAGCGGCACCUAAUGGUGACAGUUGUUAAAGCGGGGGAUCGAAAGAUCUCGCGCCUGAAGAGGAGCCUGCGGCGGAUUAGCCAGUUGGUAGGGUAAUGGCCUACCAAGGCGACGAUCCGUAGCCGGCCUGAGAGGGCGGUCGGCCACACUGACACUGACAUACGGGUCAGACUCCUACGGGAGGCAGCAGUCGGGAAUUUUGGGCAAUGGGCGAAAGCCUGACCCAGCAACGCCGCGUGAAGGAUGAAAUCCCUCGGGAUGUAAACUUCGCAAGAACGGGAAGAAUUAGUGGAAGUUAAUACCUUCCAUGAUGACGGUACCGUUUGUAAGCUCCGGCUAACUCCGUGCCAGCCGCCGCGUAAUAC